Molecule: ribosomal RNA, 346 nt
Filed under: uncultured bacterium
Lineage: Bacteria
Description: partial 16S ribosomal RNA
Rfam family: Bacterial small subunit ribosomal RNA
Source: RNAcentral
CCUACGGGUGGCUGCAGUGAGGAAUAUUGGUCAAUGGGCGCGAGCCUGAACCAGCCAAGUAGCGUGAAGGAUGACUGCCCUAUGGGUUGUAAACUUCUUUUAUAGGGGAAUAAAGUGCAGGAUGUAGACGGCUUUGCAUGUACCUUAUGAAUAAGGAUCGGCUAACUCCGUGCCAGCAGCCGCGGUAAGACGGAGGAUCCGAGCGUUAUCCGGAGUUAUUGGGUUUAAAGGGAGCGUAGGCGGGUUGUUAAGUCAGUUGUGAAAGUUUGCGGCUCAACCGUAAAAUUGCAGUUGAUACUGGCCUCCUUGUGUUCAGUAGAGGUAGGCGGUAUUCGUGGUGUAGCGG